RNAcentral lists this unclassified non-coding RNA (242 nucleotides) under Hevea brasiliensis (rubber tree). The record is from RNAcentral. Lineage: Eukaryota; Viridiplantae; Streptophyta; Magnoliopsida; Malpighiales; Euphorbiaceae.
UUUAGUCGUGCGAGAUCGGGAUGUCAGACAGGCUCUGCACCGAAAGGUGCUGAAAGAGCAUCACGGCGACGCCGACACUUUGGUGCUCGACGAGUUGGGCCUGCGUCAUGGCACCUGCCGGGUCGAUAUCGCCGUCGUAAAUGGCUACCUGCACGGUUACGAGAUCAAAAGCGAUUCAGACACGCUGGAACGGCUUCCCGCCCAGAUCGCCACUUAUGGGCUCGUCCUGGACCGGGCGACGC